GAUGAAGAACGUAGCGAAAUGCGAUAAGUAAUGUGAAUUGCAGAAUUCAGUGAAUCAUCGAAUCUUUGAACGCACAUUGCGCCCGCCAGUAUUCUGGGGGGCAUGCCUGUUCGAGCGUCAUUUCAACCAUCAAGCCCCCGGCUUGUGUUGGGGACCUGCGGCUGCCGCAGGCCCUGAAAACCAGUGGCGGGCUCGCUAGUCACUCCGAGCGUAGUAAUACAUCUCGCUCAGGGCGUGCUGCGGGUUCCGGCCGUUAAAAAGCCUUAUUUACCCAAGGUUGACCUCGGAUCAGGUAGGAAGACCCGCUGAACUUAAGCAUAUCAAUAAGCGGAGGA
Molecule: unclassified non-coding RNA, 335 nt
Filed under: soil metagenome
Description: partial contains 5.8S ribosomal RNA, internal transcribed spacer 2, and large subunit ribosomal RNA
Rfam family: 5.8S ribosomal RNA (bases 1-120)
Source: RNAcentral